RNAcentral lists this ribosomal RNA (802 nucleotides) under uncultured bacterium. Its description in RNAcentral is "bacterial SSU rRNA". It matches the Rfam family "Bacterial small subunit ribosomal RNA", at positions 638 to 1440 of the family's 1533-position model. The record is from RNAcentral.
UGACUNGAGUGCAGAAGGGGAGAGUGGAAUUCCAUGUGUAGCGGUGAAAUGCGUGGAUAUAUGGAGGUACACCAGUGGCGAAAGCGGCUCUCUGGUCUGUCACUGACGCUGAGGCUCGAAAGCGUGGGUAGCGAACAGGAUUAGAUACCCUGGUAGUCCACGCCGUAAACGAUGAGUGCUAGGUGUUAGGCCCUUUCCGGGGCUUAGUGCCGGAGCUAACGCAAUAAGCACUCCGCCUGGGGAGUACGACCGCAAGGUUGAAACUCAAAGGAAUUGACGGGGGCCCGCACAAGCGGUGGAGCAUGUGGUUUAAUUCGAAGCAACGCGAAGAACCUUACCAGGUCUUGACAUCCCGAUGCUAUUCUUAGAGAUAGGAAGUUACUUCGGUACAUCGGAGACAGGUGGUGCAUGGUUGUCGUCAGCUCGUGUCGUGAGAUGUUGGGUUAAGUCCCGCAACGAGCGCAACCCUUAUUGUUAGUUGCCAUCAUUAAGUUGGGCACUCUAGCGAGACUGCCGGUAAUAAACCGGAGGAAGGUGGGGAUGACGUCAAAUCAUCAUGCCCCUUAUGACCUGGGCUACACACGUGCUACAAUGGUCGGUACAACGAGUUGCGAGCCGGUGACGGCAAGCUAAUCUCUGAAAGCCGAUCUCAGUUCGGAUUGGAGGCUGCAACUCGCCUCCAUGAAGUCGGAAUCGCUAGUAAUCGCGGAUCAGCACGCCGCGGUGAAUACGUUCCCGGGCCUUGUACACACCGCCCGUCACACCACGAGAGUUUGUAACACCCGAAGUCGGUGAGGUAACC